This 629-nucleotide ribosomal RNA is filed under the name Escherichia coli. RNAcentral describes it as "partial 23S ribosomal RNA". It matches the Rfam family "Bacterial large subunit ribosomal RNA", at positions 1291 to 1903 of the family's 2925-position model. Lineage: Bacteria; Pseudomonadati; Pseudomonadota; Gammaproteobacteria; Enterobacterales; Enterobacteriaceae. The record is from RNAcentral.
CGAAUGCUGACAUAAGUAACGAUAAAGCGGGUGAAAAGCCCGCUCGCCGGAAGACCAAGGGUUCCUGUCCAACGUUAAUCGGGGCAGGGUGAGUCGACCCCUAAGGCGAGGCCGAAAGGCGUAGUCGAUGGGAAACAGGUUAAUAUUCCUGUACUUGGUGUUACUGCGAAGGGGGGACGGAGAAGGCUAUGUUGGCCGGGCGACGGUUGUCCCGGUUUAAGCGUGUAGGCUGGUUUUCCAGGCAAAUCCGGAAAAUCAAGGCUGAGGCGUGAUGACGAGGCACUACGGUGCUGAAGCAACAAAUGCCCUGCUUCCAGGAAAAGCCUCUAAGCAUCAGGUAACAUCAAAUCGUACCCCAAACCGACACAGGUGGUCAGGUAGAGAAUACCAAGGCGCUUGAGAGAACUCGGGUGAAGGAACUAGGCAAAAUGGUGCCGUAACUUCGGGAGAAGGCACGCUGAUAUGUAGGUGAAGUCCCUUGCGGAUGGAGCUGAAAUCAGUCGAAGAUACCAGCUGGCUGCAACUGUUUAUUAAAAACACAGCACUGUGCAAACACGAAAGUGGACGUAUACGGUGUGACGCCUGCCCGGUGCCGGAAGGUUAAUUGAUGGGGUUAGCGGUAACGCGAA